This 204-nucleotide long non-coding RNA is filed under the name Elaeis guineensis (African oil palm). Its description in RNAcentral is "long non-coding RNA (EGUI_LNC015103)". Lineage: Eukaryota; Viridiplantae; Streptophyta; Magnoliopsida; Arecales; Arecaceae. The record is from RNAcentral.
AUGGCAGAACGAGGAGUCUAGCUGAAGAGACGCCUUCACGUUCAUGAAGCUGCCGGCCGCUUGUCCUGCUUUGGGACCUCUCUGUUAAAAAAAUGAUCUGCAAUAUCUGUAAUCAGAAUAAAGCAGUUUCCAGUACCUUCACCUUCCACCUGGCCAGAAAAUCAAACACAGGAAUUUAAGUUAUUUAAUCAUCCAGCUGACCCA